GUGGGGAAUUUUGGACAAUGGGCGCAAGCCUGAUCCAGCAAUGCCGCGUGCAGGAAGAAGGCCUUCGGGUUGUAAACUGCUUUUGUACGGAACGAAAAGGCCCUGGUUAAUACCUGGGGCUCAUGACGGUACCGUAAGAAUAAGCACCGGCUAACUACGUGCCAGCAGCCGCGGUAAUACGUAGGGUGCAAGCGUUAAUCGGAAUUACUGGGCGUAAAGCGUGCGCCGGCGGUGCUGUAAGACAGGCGUGAAAUCCCCGGGCUUAACCUGGGAAUUGCGCUUGUGACUGCAGUGCUGGAGUGCGGCAGAGGGGGAUGGAAUUCCGCGUGUAGCAGUGAAAUGCGUAGAUAUGCGGAGGAACACCGAUGGCGAAGGCAAUCCCCUGGGCCUGCACUGACGCUCAUGCACGAAAGCGUGGGGAGCAAACAGGAUUAGAUACCCUUGUAGUCC
This 450-nucleotide ribosomal RNA is filed under the name uncultured bacterium. RNAcentral describes it as "bacterial SSU rRNA". It matches the Rfam family "Bacterial small subunit ribosomal RNA", at positions 354 to 796 of the family's 1533-position model. The record is from RNAcentral.